AUUGAACGCUGGCGGCAGGCCUAACACAUGCAAGUCGAACGGUAACAGGAAGAAGCUUGCUUCUUUGCUGACGAGUGGCGGACGGGUGAGUAAUGUCUGGGAAACUGCCUGAUGGAGGAGGAUAACUACUGGAAACGGUAGCUAAUACCGCAUAACGUCGCAAGACCAAAGAGGGGGACCUUCGGGCCUCUUGCCAUCGGAUGUGCCCAGAUGGGAUUAGCUAGUAGGUGGGGUAACGGCUCACCUAGGCGACGAUCCCUAGCUGGUCUGAGAGGAUGACCAGCCACACUGGAACUGAGACACGGUCCAGACUCCUACGGGAGGCAGCAGUGGGGAAUAUUGCACAAAGGGCGCAAGCCUGAUGCAGCCAUGCCGCGUGUAUGAAGAAGGCCUUCGGGUUGUAAAGUACUUUCAGCGGGGAGGAAGGGAGUAAAGUUAAUACCUUUGCUCAUUGACGUUACCCGCAGAAGAAGCACCGGCUAACUCCGUG
Molecule: ribosomal RNA, 490 nt
Filed under: uncultured bacterium
Lineage: Bacteria
Description: partial 16S ribosomal RNA
Rfam family: Bacterial small subunit ribosomal RNA
Source: RNAcentral